RNAcentral lists this ribosomal RNA (496 nucleotides) under uncultured bacterium. RNAcentral's name for it is "partial 16S ribosomal RNA". It matches the Rfam family "Bacterial small subunit ribosomal RNA", at positions 28 to 506 of the family's 1533-position model. The record is from RNAcentral.
GACGAACGCUGGCGGCGUGCCUAAUACAUGCAAGUUGAGCGCUGAAGGUUGGUACUUGUACCGACUGGAUGAGCAGCGAACGGGUGAGUAACGCGUGGGGAAUCUGCCUUUGAGCGGGGGACAACAUUUGGAAACGAAUGCUAAUACCGCAUAAAAACUUUAAACACAAGUUUUAAGUUUGAAAGAUGCAAUUGCAUCACUCAAAGAUGAUCCCGCGUUGUAUUAGCUAGUUGGUGAGGUAAAGGCUCACCAAGGCGAUGAUACAUAGCCGACCUGAGAGGUGGACCGCCAAACUGGGAAAGGAGCCACGCCCCAAACUCCUAGGGGAGGCGCCAGAGGGGAAUCUUGGGCAAUGAACGAAGGUCUGACCGAGCACCCCCGCGUGAGGAAAGAGGGUUUUCGGAUCUAAAACUUCUGUUGAUAGAAAAAAAGGUGGGUGGGGGGGAAAACCCCAUCAGGGGAGGGAACCAACCAAAAAAGGACCGCCAAAUUACUU